AGACGAUCAGUAAUAAUGUAAGAGGGAUAGACCGGGUAGUGGUGGUGUUGGUGGUUUCGCUCGCUCGCUCCAUCUCGGAAAAUACCAUGUAAAACUCCAAAACAGCUUAAAGUAAGUACAAAUUAAUAAAUUUUUAUUUUUUUAUUGAAUCACUUCUUUUCAUUAUUUAUUGAAAUCAUUUAAUGAAAAUUCUUCAUAAAAAAAUCAUACAAUGUUAAAAAGUCAUAUGGGGUUUACAGAAAAGAGAAUAUUGAAAAAACUGCAGUAUAUAAAGAAAUUAAAACUAAAAAGACCAAAACAGACUAAAAAUAACAGACUAUUAUGUUAUUUGAAUAUAAAGAAUAGGGUAAAAUGAACAAAACAGAUUAAGUUUAGAGAGAAAUGUUAUAAAAAUUAAGAAAAAAGAAGUGUAGGACCCCACCCAGACCCUCAUAUAUAGAUCGUUUAACUUAAUUUUGACAAGCGAUUUAUAUAUCAUCAAGUACUGUUUUUCAUUAUCAUAAAAGUUUUGUAUUAAAUUAUGUUUGUAGGGAUUUUCGAAUUAUGUAAUGCCGAAAUUUUAUACCGUUAUAUUUGUUAAAUACACUACAAGCUUACAUUUCUUUUUUAACUAUCUUUUUCUGUCUGAUGCAACAUGUUUUAGGAACACGCAGUAUAAAAGUACUGCUCAAUUGAAUAUGUUUUUUUUUUCUAUUUUCUUUUCAUGGGUAUUGCUAAUUUGCAUUUGAUUAUAUUCUUUACCUUGAUGGGAUCAUAUUGCUACUGCUAUGCACUCAAACAAGAGAGAAUACAUUCCAAUUAAUCAAACUUUCUUAGAAUCGAUAGCGCAUGUAUUUUGAGCAUGUUAUGUACAAACAUUGCAAGUAUAAGACCCGCUAUCUAACUCAUUUACAGAUUCUUAUACCACAUAACUUCCAAAAUGAAGAUACUUUACGGAAAUGUAUGCAUCAUUAUGAGGAUAAACUUUCUAUUUGAGGAGAGUAAUGUCUAUCCUGACAGAAAGUAACAAAGUAUUAUUUUAAAACACCAUGUAUUCUUAAAAUAAUUACAUAUUAAAUAACAUUAUACCACAAACUACAAUGUUACCCGGGAUGUUUGUGCUUCUUCUGGUUUGCUAUGUGGUAUGGGUUGUGCUCAUUGUUGAAGGCCGUACGGUGAUCUCUAGCUGUUGACUUCUACGUCAUUUGGUCUAGAAAGGUUUUCUCGUGAGUUUUCUCAAUGACAGUCGUGCCACAUGUUCUUAUUUUUAUGUUUGACCAUUUAGGACGUUCUAUAGUUGAACGUCAAUUCAGAUUUUGGAAACAUUGGUAUAUUUUAAACCAACCAUAUAAAUCCAUAGAAUUUUUUACAAUACAUGAAGUUGUCCACCUGUCGUUUUAUUUUUAAUCUGAGUGAUUUAUUUAUUUAUUUUUUAAUUUUGGUGGUGGUGGGGGGGGGGGGUACAUUAACUGUUGUUGGAUGAAAUUUAUGUGUGUAGAAAACAGAAUAACGUUUAAGUUUGUCACUUGCUUUCAUAUAUAUCCUAUUAGCUGUCAAAAAGCAUUUACUUGAGUUAUAAUUAACAAACUCGCGCUUUCUUACAAAAUUAAACAAAUUGUGAAAACGUCAAACUACAAAAUAAAGACUAAAACGGCAAAACAUCAAAACUUAGAAUAGCACAAAAACAAUUAAAAGUCAUAAAGAGAAUAUAGUACCAAUAUUAUAAGUAUAAACAAGAAGAUGUGGUAUGAUUGCCAAUGAGACAACUAUCCAUAAAAGACCAAAAUGACACUGACAUUACCAGUUAUAGGUCACCGUACGGCCUUCAACAAUGAGCAAAGCCCAUACCGCAUAGUCAGCUAUAAUAGGCCCCGAUAAGACAAUGUAAAACAAUUCAAACGAGAAAACUUUGCUCAUUGUUGAAAGCCGUACGGUGACCUAUAGUUGUUCAUGUCUGUGUCAUUUUGGUCUUUUGUGGAUAGUUUUCUCAUUGGCAAUCAUACCACAUCUUCUUUUUUAUAGUUAUUUAUAUCUUUAAUAUUAACUAUAAUCCCUGAAACAACAAUGAUUGAUAGUUCAGUUCUCGUAGGUUUUGCAAUUUUCAUACCACAGAGUAACAAAUCGUCUAGGUUUGGAUCUCCUUUUUUUAUACCACGGGGUACCAGUUUACAGAUAGAAAUGUUGGAUUAAAUGUUAUUUGCCUAAUGUUCAGUGGCAAAUACUACGAGAGUGAGUACUGCAAAAUCUAUCGACCUGCAGUGGCGGAACCUACAUGGAAGUCGAUCAAAUCUAACAAAAAAUAAACGUCUAAAAUUGAGUCAAACUAGCCCAGGAAAAAGAAAUUAUAAUGUUAUACGUAUAAACAUUCUACAUAUAAUUAAUGCCCCCACAUUGUCCCACAGAGUCAUAAAACAUAAAUAUUCACAUGUUCAUUUAAAUUAUUUACAGAUACGGAACUUAACAACAUGACAGAUUAAGACUGCUUCCCUGUUCAUUAGACAGAAUAAAAUGGUAUUGCUUCAGUUACAACAGAACCUUUCGACAUCGUUUAUGGUAUAUCCGAUCCAAAUGAAUCUGUUAUACCAUAUUACAACAGCACACUAAGGAGUAAAAUACCAACAUACCACUAAGGAGCAAAAUACCAACAGAAAGCUAAGGAGCAAAAUACAAACAGAACACUAAGGAAAAAAAUACCAACAGAGCAUAAAGGAGCAAAAUACCAACAGAGCAUAAAGGAGCAAAAUACCAACGGAAAACUAAAGAGAAAAAUACCAACAGAACACUAAGAAGCAAAAUACCAACCAUCUGAAUACCACCCAUGGUUAUGUUAAAAAAAAAACACUAUAAAAACCUAUAUAAUAUAUUAUUGUGUCAAGUACAUGUAUCUGUCAUAAGUUAGUUAUUAUUUUUAACAAAACUAAAAAAAAUAUUCUAAUAUACGAUAGUUUAAGGCUGGUAGUAGUGGAGAUAUUUAUGUAUUAGUGUGUUUAUGUGUCUAUGUGUGUGUGUACGUUUGCGUGUGUUGUCAAAAAUCUUACCACUUUAGAGCUGUAAGUGUGUAAUAAGCUGCGUGAUUGUGUUGAUCGUAUGUUAGAAUUGUUUUGAAAUUUUUUUCAAGACGCCAAAGGCCAAAAUGUGCAAUACUGUUGUAUAUAAUAUUUUUUGUAUAAUUUAUUUUAAUACAAUUAUUUUAUAGGUGUUUAUAAAUGUCUUAACGUAGUGAUGCAGUGACAAAUUCAGGGCCGUAGAGGGAAUACGCCCCACUUUGAAUUUUUAAAAAAAUGCGCAUAAAAUCGUCAAACAUAUUUUCACCAUUAACUGGCAUUUACGUCUCCGUUUUCCUCGAACCUUAUUUUUAUAACUUAUAUACAGUGAAGCUAUCUGUCAAUUAUAGUUAUGGUGUCUCUCUCUUAUAAAACAAUUUCUCCGUAUUUUAACCUAAAUUUUUAAAUGUGUUUUAAGGUUAAGAAUAACAGUUUAUAAGAUGCUUCCGAUGCGCUUUCCUGGAUUUACGUUCGGGAACUCUCUAACCCAAAAUUUCGAAAGCCAAGGAUUUUUACACAAAUGUAGACUUUAAACUCAAAUUAUUAUAAAUUACGUGCAUGUAUGUUCUCAAAAUGUUUUUUGUUUGUCUUACCCAGAUAAUAUGGGUUUUAUCAAAGCUGAAUUGUGAUAUAUUUAUAGAUGUAGUUUUAGUUUUGCACUUUGCUAGAAAAUUGUACAUAGUUUUGAAACACUUAACAUUGCACUUGCUUUGUAGAAUUAGUAAUGAUUAUUCCAGCGUGCCAAAUACAAGUACAUAAAGCUAUAUAUAUUAAUAUGCUGGCAUAAAUGGUUGAUUUACGUCAAAACAACGCAAUUACAACCAAUUUGCCUUCUGUGAUAUGUAAACACAAUAUGCACACUAAGUACCUUUAAAAUACUCAUUUUAACAUUGCAUGUGUUUGUAUAUAACGCAUGAAAGGGAGCGAGCUAGGAACAAAGGGAGACCUAUAGAGAGAGAUAGCGAAAAAGAGAGAGAGAGAGAGUAUAUUAUGUUUGUGUGCACAUGUGUUUGUAUGUGAUUAAGUGAGAGACAAAACAUUGUUUUAUGGUCAGGCAGGAUCAUCCUUUCGUGUUAAUCAGUUUCUAAGAUAUUUUUCUGUAAACUUAAAAUAUAUGACCGUUUGCAUGGGUUCUUCGUUUCUUUAUUCAUCCAAGUGUAUUAUCAUUUUGCUCUAUUUUGAAUAGUUCAGCACCCAAUUAUUCUUUAUUCUUUUUUUAACCUGUUUUCUUCUCUAUUCUUUUUUUUUUGGAGGGGAGGCGGGAGAAUAACCCAAUCCAAUUUAUUGUAUGUAUCAAUUUAUUGUCACG
This 4332-nucleotide long non-coding RNA is filed under the name Mytilus galloprovincialis (Mediterranean mussel). Lineage: Eukaryota; Metazoa; Mollusca; Bivalvia; Mytilida; Mytilidae. The record is from RNAcentral.